Non-coding RNA from Cherax quadricarinatus, 14066 nucleotides. Lineage: Eukaryota; Metazoa; Arthropoda; Malacostraca; Decapoda; Parastacidae. The record is from RefSeq and is a predicted model, not a curated record.
AGAUCGGGAAGACGGACACCAUGUUGGUUUAGCCGUCAGUGGCCCUGUAAACCAGGUGACUGGACGGACACCAUGUUGGGAUUGUGGCAGUGCAUUAAGUUGGUAAAUAUGGCAGCAGUGAUGAGCAGUAUGGGACCCCACACACUACCACCUUGUGACUGUCUACAAGAGACAGUCGGACUUAACGUGAACUGCUUAACACCAUUUACAGCUGUGUUCAGACAAGUUGUACGUUUAUGGAUGCGAAUACAAUUUUGGCCCGACUAAUGCAAGGCAGCAGAGAAGCGAGGCAUCUUCGUUCUUCACGGUAACCGCGGCACUUUCCACAGCGUCAAGCAGCCAGCCAGCCAGCUUCAGGGGUGUUUAUCAAGCUUGGGAAGAGAGCGGAAAUUGUAAGGGGCAGCACCUGCUACGAGGUAGUUGAAAAACCAAGUCCACACAGGCAGUGGCCCCGACUGGGAAUCUGCCGCCAGUCAUUGACGUCGUAGCGAAAGGACAUUAAUAUAAAGUUGGCAAAGAUUGGAGACAAGACUUGUACUACCCAAUGCAGCGUCAUCUUCUGAAGGCGUACAACAUUAUUAAUCGAAAGAUUGACAGUGCUUUCCUGAAAGUCCUGAGCUGUCUAGUAAGGUUUAAAUGACGUUGGUGAUUGAUUUUAGGUUUUAUCAAAUUUAACAUUACUCUUAAGAAUAUCCAUUUGUACAUGUAUAUGUACAGAUGGAUAUUCUAUUUUUGUAAAUAGUGUCAUGAAAAGUAAGUUAUUGUGGAGGAACUCAAAACAUACGUUUGAAGAUGGCAAUGUCUGCCGUCUUAAAACAUCAGGUAUUUGUUUGUACUUUGCUGCAUUACAUAGCAUACUGUAUCCACUUGCAUAGGUGGUAUACACUCUGUUAUUUGCAUCUCUUUCUUUGUGGAGCAUUAUCUGUGCCGAAUGUUGCUUUUCUUGUUUUGUCCUUACUGCCGCCACUUGUUACUUUGUGAUUUUAAUGACCAUUAUUUCCACUUGGGGGGGGGGGGGUCUCGCUGUGAUUCCUGUGUUGUUCAGUUGGGGGCUUUUCUUGCUUCUUACUCUGUCCAUGUUUUAAAAACAGGUACUUGAACCCAUUUUGAUUCUUGUACUCAUACUCUCUCUUGCAUUGAUGUGUUAGUGUGCUGUUGCUGCACUGCACUAGAGUUUGUCCAGUCUGUUCUCUUGGAAUUAGAUGGCAGCGAUCAUUUUUGAAUCAGUUUUACUUGUCCUUCAUAUUAAGCACCUCUCUGUAGGCCACGUUGGCAAUUGAAUGGAGCAAAUUGGGACCUUUACUGACAAGUAAUUGAUUUUAAUGAGGUUACUUGUUUGUUCUCCAUUGAAGAGGUUUUACGCCUCUUGUUGUCCUCAGUUUGAAGUGCCACUCGUCAUUGUAUACCCCAAACCUAAGGCAGGCAUUGUCAGAAGUGCGUGCCUGGGUGGUGUCGUGCUCGUGCACGUGCAGUACAUCCGAAAUUCACUGCGUGGGGCAGGCAUCGGUACGUUAGAAGCGUCGAGAGAAUUUUUGAGUUUAAGCAGGGGUGCGGUCGCUGGCCGUGUCAUUUGCGACGAUAAAUGCACUUGCCGGCGAGAUUACGUCUGCACCAGCGUCUGUGCUUCGUCAAUGAAUGCAGUCUGGAAAAAAUUGGGGAAAUUGAGUGGCAAAUAGUCUACCGACCCGGCUCCCAUUCUCCGGGCUGCCGGUGUCGACGUAGCAAACCCUCUUGACGUUGCCAUUGAAAUUGGCAAUUAUCUGGUCUGUAUUUCUCAGGGGCUCCAUCUAUGGCCCUCAUUUCUUUCUUGAAAGUGCCAUAGAGUUAGCACCCUUGGAUUUUUGUUUUGUCAAAGAAGAAGUGUAUAAUGUGCCUUUUACUGUGUCAUCAUGUGUGGUUGUUUUAGAGUGAGUCUGUCUGUUUGUCUGUGCUUUACAGGCUAUAGAAAAAGUUGAUACACCUCUCCCCGUAGUUGUCUGUAUCCAAAUUUGGUUACACUCUAUCUCUAACAAGUAUAAAUGGAUUGGUUUUUGUUGGGUCCCUGGUCAUGUUGAUGUACUGGGCAAUGAAGAGGUAGACAAUGGUGUGUGGUGAAGAGUACACGACGUUGCAGUUUGAUAUAGAGGUGUUGCGUUCGUCGAUUAUUUUACUGUUAUAGCUACUGACCUUGACACCCGUCGACAAGAACGUUGGCGUGCUCUGCCGAAUAACAAACUGUGUCGUAUUAAACCGAGUAUAGGUUAUUGGCCGUCGUCGUGUCGUAAGUAAAUACGUAAGUUUAUUCAGGCAUACACAAAUACUGUUACAUAGAAUUAUCAUACAUAGCAGCAUAUGUGCAAAGAACCUAGGAUAACCUAAAAAAGUCAGAGUGACUUAUUUCCAUUGGGGUUCUUUUACCUUAUUAUUAUAAUAUAAAGGUUAUAAUAGAUUCUUAUUAUUGUAUAAUGAAGAUAACAUCUUAUUAAUAUACUAGAAGACCAUCUACUACACGAGGGUCAUUAAGACUAUCUACAAUACGAGGGUCAUUACUAGGAAUAAGGUAAAAUUACACUUCUUUCUUUCUUUCAACACACCGGCCAUAUCCCACCGAGGCGGGGUGGCCCAAAAGAAAAAAGGAAAGUUUCUCCUUUUACAUUUAGUAAUAUAUACAGGAGAAGGGGUUACUAGCCACUUGCUCCCGGCAUUUUAGUCGCCUCUUACAACACGCAUGGCUUAUGGAGGAAGAAUUCUGUUCCACUUCCCCAUGGAGGUAAGAGGAAAUAAACAAGAACAAGAAUUAGAAAGAAAAUAGAAGAAAAUCCAAAGGGGUGUGUGUAUAUAUAUGCUUGUACAUGUAUGUGUAGUGUGACCUAAGUGUAAGUAGAAGUAGCAAGACGUACCUGAAAUCUUGCAUGUGAAUGAGACAGAAAAAAAAAGACACCAGCAAUCCUACCAUCGUGUAAAACAAUUACAGGCUUCAUUUUUACACUCACUUGGCAGGACGGUAGUACCUCCCUGGGCGGUUGCUGUCUACCAACCUACUACCUAUAAAAUUACACUUGUAUUAGCUAAAAAUAAAAAAUCAUUCCCCUCCCUUUCUGUAGCUACAUUAAUCAGACACCUUUUGGCACUCUUCUUGAACUGGUUCAUGCUAUGACUGGCUUUGAAAUGUACAGGCAGUCUGUUCCAUUCCUUUAUUGCUGUACAAUAAAAGGUGUUUGAAGCCUGGCCACUGACUGUGGAUACUACAAAGUUGUGCUCUCUCCCCUUAGUACUAUGAUUGCUUUGGUUCCCAACCUUGACAAAAUUGACAGCACGAUAUUUUGGACACUGUUUGUGAGCAAUUUUAUAAACAUGAUUUAGCUUCAGAUUUUUAACUCUGUCUUUAAUAUUCAACAUAUCCAACUGCUGUAAUUCAUUCUGUCCUACAUGCUCUCUUGGAUCCAGGUCUAGGAUGAAUCUUACAAUUUUGUUCUGGGUGAUUUGCAGUCUAUCUUUCAGUUUUUUUGUCAAGGCAGAGUACCAUGAAGAGCAAGUGUAAUCCAUAUGACACUGUAUAAGGGCUAGACAUAGGGUACUGCGAGCCUCAGUAGGUAGAGACUGUGAUUGUCUAUAGAGGAACUUUUUUCUGGCAUUCGCUUUCUUUACUACACUGUUCCUUAUCAAUUCUCCUGACAUGCAUGGGUCGAAGGGGAUUCCCAGAUAUUUUACUGAUGAAAUCAAAUUGAUGGGCUCCUCGUGGACGUUAAAAUUAUUUACGCUUCUCACUUUUUGUUUUGUGCCAAAGAGAAUGGCUUCAGUUUUCCCUAGGUGCAAUGAUAGUUUUUUUUUUACUAACCAUUUGCUGCAGGACUCCAGUUGCAGUGUUAAUACAUUAGCUAUAUCUUGUGGGUCUUUACCUGACAAGAACAGAGCACUGUCAUCUUCAUACAGUAGGAGUUUGCACUUGACACUCAUAGGCAUGAAAUGACACAGCAUAAGAAUAAUAAGGGACCCAGAAUGCUACUUCGGGGAACUCGAAACGCUAUCGGUUCUGUUUCCGUUUUGUUGAUUUUAACAGUUUGUCUGCUGUUGCUAAGGUAGGACUUAAACCAGUGUGCAGAACUUAUACCAAUAGCUUGAAGUUUCUUACAUAAUAUAUUGUGGUUGACAGUAUUGAAGGCCUUUUGCAGGUCUAGGUUUACUGUACCUGUGAGGUUCCCCAUUGACAUUUCAGUUCUCAGGUAAUCCAUCAGAUUAAUUAGGGAGGUGUCGGUUGAGUAAGAUGUUGUGAAGCCCGAUUGUUAGCUACGGAGAAUGUUGUUGUCAUUAAGGUACUUAGCUACUUGACAGUACACCGCCCUCUCUAGAAUUUUGGAUAUUAUACUGAGUAUACUAACAGGCCUAUAGUUGCUUACAUCAGACCUACUAUUUUUCUUGAAGAUAGGAGUAACUCUGGCCUCCUUGAACCCCUCUGGUACGGUAUUAGUGUUGAUUGACAGAUUUAUGAUGUGAGUAAUAGGGAUUGACAGUUCAGAAGCACCAUCUUUUAGGAACUUGUACGGGAUGUUAUCCAGGCCAGUGCAUGACCAGAGAGUUUUAAUCAACGGUUUUAUCUGUCCAAAUCACUCUCAAUUCUAUUUAUUGGGGGUUGUGUCGUGUUGUUGACUCGUGACCUGGUCUGCUGUCUCAGCCAUUUUGAAAAGCACUGAGGGAAGUAAACGCCACGUACAACGUGACUUUUCUUGAGUUUUAUAGGUAGAUUUGGCGUUUUCUGCUAUGAUUCUCUCACUGUACACCGGUCAGCUGAAUAUAGGUCAACUACUAAACUCUGGCUGUUCAGCCAUUCACUCGUUUUCCACGACUGGUCGUCAGUGUCGAGAGUAGUCUCUCUUAUGCGUUUGCAUUGGCCACACUAGUCUUACUGAUGGAUAUCUUACGGAGAGGCGCGUUGCUGCUGUCAACGUUGUGUUUGCUCUGCUGCUCUCUCUUUACCUUGCCUUGUUGGUGAUGGAGCCUCAUUUCAUUUUGACUGUGUCAUUGACUUUUUCACAAGAACUGACUUUGUCCAGAAACUCAUGAUGAUGAUAAUAAUAGCACUUUUCUCAGCCCUUUGUACCUCAAUCUCUUACUAUGCUUUUCCCUUUCAGUAUCCCCUGCCUUGCUGUUUUCUGUAGCUUUGUAAUCGUCCAAUUGUCCUUUUGCCGCCCUAUACUUUCGUUUUCUUCCCUGCCCUGCGGUGCUGUAUAGCCGUUGUGGUUUAGCAUUUUUUUAUUUGAUUAUAAUAAUAAAAAUUUAGAGGCUAAUAUUGUUUCAGUGUGGUCGUGAUGAAGUGUAGCUUGAGCCGUGUUGAUUACAGCGUUGAAGAAUUUAAAGCAUUAAAAAAUGUCAAUAAAUUUUCAUUUUGAAUAAUUGUAUGAAAAUGUUAUAUUUUGUUUGGUGUCAAAGUUAUUUUCAAUAUUUUUGGUUUGUGGAAAGUAUUGUGAGUGUGUAAAUCUGGAAAGUUUGAGUGUUGUCAUUGUAAGUUGUGGAAAUGUUGCAGUAGUUUUUAAUGUAUGUAAAAGGUAAAUGAGGUACAUACAGUGGAACCUUUAGUUUGGAGUGCAUCCUCGUACGAGUCUUUACAGUUACGUGCAGUUGGUCGGUAGAUUUUUUGUCUGUGGAUGUGAGGGAUAUUUUGUGAUGUGAGUGGGUGUCAAAGGAGGUUGUUUGUUUGUCUGAUUUUGGUAUUGAAAGUUUGGUAACGUAACGUACGAUUGAAAAACGUCCGUUGGCGUAUGCCCGAAAUGGAAGAAAAUGGAGCAUAAUUAAGGGAGUUGGCUUGUCAGUCAUUAGCCUCUUGUUACCUCGAGUUUACCCGGAGAGAGUUGUGUGGGUCAACGCCCCUGCGGCCCGGUGUGUGACCAGGCCUCCCGGUGGAUCCGAGCCUGACGAACCAGGCCAUUACCGGUGGUUGCACGCAAUCCAGCGUACGAGCCACAGCCCGGCCGGUCAGGUACCGAUUUUAGGUGCUUGUCCAGUGCCUGCUUGUAGACAGCCAGGGGUUUAUUUGUAAUCCCUCUCAUGUAUGCUGGGAGGCAGUUGAAAAGUCUUGGGCCCCUGACACUUUUUGUAUUGUGUCUUAAUGUACUAGUGACACCCCUGCUUUUCAUUGGGGGGAUGUCGCAUCGUCUGCCGAGUCUUUCGCUUUCGUCGCGAGUGAUUUUCACGUGUAAGUUUGGUACUGGUCCCUCUAGGAUUUUGCAGGCGUAUAUAACGAUGCAUCUCUCCCGCCUGUGUUCCAGGGAAUACACACGUUCAGGAACUUGAAGCACUCCCAGUAAUUGAGGCGUUUUAUCUCUGUUAUGUGUGCCGUGGAGGAUCUGUUUACGUUUUGUAGGUCAGCAAUUUGACCCACCUUGAAAGCACCGGUGCUGUUUGUUAGUGUGCAGCAAUAUUCCUGCCUAGAUAGGACAAGUGAUGUGAAGAGUGUCAUCGUGGGCUUGGCAUCUCUAGUUUUGAAGGUUGUCAUUAUCCAUCGUGUCAUUUUUGUAGCAGAUGCGAUUGAUACAGCGUUACGGUCCUCGAAGGCGAGAUCGUCCGACACGAUCACUCCCGGGUCUUUGACGUUGGUUUUUCACUCUAUUUUGUGGAAGGAAUUUGUUUUGUACUCUGAUGUACUUUUAAUUUCCUCCUGUUUAACAAAUUGGAGUAAUUGAAAAAUGUCAUCAUUGAACUUGAUAUUGUUUUUUGCAGCCCACUGAAAGGUUUGGUCGAUGUCCGCCUGGAGUCUUGCAGUGUAUGCAAAGGAAGACACUGUCGUGCAGAUUUAGGUGUCAUGUGCAAAGGAAGACAUGGUGCUGUGGCUUACAUCCCUGUCUAUGUCAGAUACGACAACGGGAGCGAGUACUGUGGCUUGCGGAACAGUGCUUUUUGCCGUUACUGCCUCAACUCUACUCCGUUGACUAGUAUUCUCUGUGUUAUGUCUGUAGAUCCAUCUACGCACUUUUCGCGUUAUUCCUUUUGCACGCAUUUUGUGCAGUACAUAUUACGCCACGGUCACGCUCGUCGAAGGCUUUUGCAAAGUCUGCAUAUAUUACAUGUGCAAUAUUUUUGUCUUGUAGUAAAUUUAGGAGCUUGUUGUAGUGAACCAGUAGCUGAGACAGACAGGAGCAAACUGCUUCUGUAAACCCACGUUGCCCUGGGUUUUGUAAGUGAUGGGUGGCGAUGUUGCUUUUUAGGACCCUUUGAAAGAUUUGUAUGAUAUGGGAUGUUAGUGGUAUGGGUUUAUAGUUGUUUGCUGCCCCCUUUGUGGAGUGGGGCUAUGUCUGUUGUUUUUAGUAACUGUGGGAUGACCCCCGUGUCCAUGCUCCCUCUCCAUAGGGUGGUAAAAUCUCACGACGGGUGCUUCUUGCAGUUGUCGACGAAGAUGGAGUUGCACGAGUUUGGCCCUGGAGCAGAGUACAUGGGCAUGUCGUUUAUUGCCUGCUUGAAGUCAUUUGGCAUUAGGAUAAUUUCAAAUAGAUAGGUUUGUGUUAAGCCAAUUUUUUGGCUCAUAAAAAAUCAUUUUGAUCUUGGACUCUGAGUCUGGUUAUUGGCUCGCUAAAAAGUGACUAGUCAUAUUGGGACUCGAGUAGCCGAGUCAUUUCAUCGCUGUCGUCUGUGUAGGACUGGUCUCGGUUAAGUAUGGGCCCAGUAAUGGACGUUGCUGUCGACUUUGAUUUGGCAUAAGGAAAGAGAUAGUUUGGGUUUCUUUCGAUUUCACGGACGUCUUUUAGUUGUCGCUGUGAUUCCUGACUCGUAUAAGAUUUGUUUUGCUUAAGUUGGACGUUUGCUAUUUGUCUGACAAGUGACUCCCAACGCAUUUCAGAUACAUUGGCCUCUCUUAGCCGUUACGUUAUUCUUUUUUGUCGCCUGCAAAGGGAGUGCCUGUCUCUCUGUAUUUUACAGGUACUCCUCCUUUUUGUUAAAGGAAUAAGCGUCGAGCAUACAUGGAGUGGCUCCUAGUUAAUCUGUCGUAGGCAUAAGUUUGGGUCUGUGUUGCUUAGCUUAUUUUACCAGCUUAUAUUGUUUAGGACUUGAUUUAUUUUAGUCCCAGUUUAUGUUGUUGUUAUUGAAGUUGAAUUUGGUGAAGGCUCCCUCGUGACUAAUGUCAUUUUGUCGGUCUGGGGCUCGAUUGUAUUGCGAUGCGAGUAUAUUGUUUUUGAUACGUUGACAUUUUGUAUCAGAUGAUAAUUUUUAGUGAAGAUGAGGUUUAAUGUAUUGUCCAGAGAUUUAAGAGGUCGUGUGUGUGUGAGUUGUUGUCAGAGGUUCCUCUUGUUGUUAUCACUGCAACAACAUUAUUUGCUAUAUUGCUCUAUUUUAGGUGCCUCAAGUUGAAAUCCCGCAGGAAGAAGAAGUUUGGGGCCGGAGGUGGCAAAAUUUGCAGAUAGUGGUCAAAUUCAGACAGCUAGCUGUUUUUGGAAUUGCUGGGACGUUGCAUCUGGAGGCUUGUAGGCUACCACAAUGACUAGUUUUGUUUUUUGAUAUUUACUGUUAAAAGUUACACUACUACAUCAUUUGAGGCAUUAAGCAGUUGUGUGCAACCAUGUGACUGUGCAAUAUACAGGCGAAUUCCCCCCUCUUUCCCCCCCCACAUACCUUUUGCCUGUUGACUCUGUUAAAUCUGUAUAGGUUGUAAACUGGGAUCCAUAUUUUGUUGUCGAAGUGGUCCUUUAUGUGGGUCUCUGUCUGUGAAAGGUACGAACAUUGCAGUCCACGGAGGAAAGGUAUUUUGUUUUUAUUGUAUGUUUGUUUGCAAAGAAGAUUGUCAUUGGACUGGUGGUAUUGGUGUUACUGGGGGGGGGGGGGAUUUUUUUUUCUGGCACUAAUAUCUGUAACUGUUGGUUUGGAGUGGAGGCCAUCGACUGUGGUUCUAUUUGAGAAAUGACUGGAUUUGGCAGACGAUUUCUGCCAUUUCCUGCCAAUUUUUUUUCUUUCCUGGCACUAAAAAUCUGUCCCUCUUGAGUGGUUGUGGGUACCCAUGUUUUUGCAUGGCCUGGAUGUUUUGUAUGUAUGUAUGUAUGUUUUUGUCCCAUUUAGAUUUUGUGGCUGGUAGUUUGAGUUAUAGCAUAGUCUUUCCUGUACUGAAGAGGUACAUGUUUUGUGGUGAAAAAUGUUGGAGGAAGAGUUUGAAUUUUCCCGUCGUCACACGGGCACGGCAUUUUGUAGGGCGGUCACAGUUGCACGUCGCAUCUGUUUUUGCAGAUUUGACACGCCUGUGGAUACCAAGUGCAGAGGCUCAGUUUCCGUUUGUGUUGGGUUUCUGCGAGUGUAUUCUCUGUCGGUGCAUGCUUUGCUGUCUCAUUGAUAUCAUCACUAGUACUAACAAUAGAGCUGUCAAGAGUUGUUUGUGGUUAUAUAUCCUUACUAUUGCUAGUGGAGUCCCCUUGUUUACUAUCUUAUGUGGUAUUAGUAAUAUUGGUUUUAUCUUGUACUUGAGUACAUUUGUUUCCCCAGUAGAGCUGCUGUCUGUGUCGAGGUCAUUAAUGUGCAGUCUCUCGUACGUACAUUUACCGACUAUCUGGACAUCACGUCCGGCCUCACAUCUUCCGAGUACCCGACCAGCAGCAAGGGCGAUACCAUCGUAUCCAGAGUUUUUGUUUUGCUGUCUGUUAUAGAAUGCUUGUAGUUUUUCUAUGAAGGCUGCUUUGAUGUUGUCCUGUUUUAAUACCAAUGUGAUUUUAAUCCACAGAUUGAUGUCAUUUGGGCAUAACCAAAAACACGUUGGUAAUUUAAUACAGUGGACCCCCGCAUAACGAUAUUAUUUCAAUCCAGAAGUCUGUUUGGGUGCCGUUAUAGACCGAAUUUGUUCCCAUAAGAAAUAUUGUGAAUUAGAUUAGUCCAUUUCAGACCCCUAAAAAUACACCUACAAAAGCACUAAGAAAAAUAAACUUAGAUAAUUAGUCGAGUUGGGAGGCGAUCGUUAUCCGGGGGUCCACCGUACUGCUUGUAGAUAGUUGUUGGAUAUCUGCACAAGGUGUGUGACAACAAUUUUAGGUUGAUAAUGUGAUUUGAAUGUUUGAUUUAGUAUAACUGUAAUAGUAACCCUUUGGAUAUUGUAGUAAUAAUAUCCUUAAAUUGAAGAUUUGGCCAAUUGUAUUUACAUUUCAAACCGUACUUGUAUAUUAGGGCAGCUUAUCGGUGUAUGUUUGUGCUUUACAUGUAUUAUUUAUUUUUGAUAAGGGUGUCUAAAACCCCGUGUGUUUACAGUCUGCUUUAUUGUCCAAGGAAUCCGUGCGAAAGCGGUCGAGGGUUCGGAAGCAGUCGGAUCUGACGAGCGUGGUCGUCGGUGGUUUGGGGGAAGACACGAAGGAACUAGUGGAAAUUAUUUAAGCGAGUAAUAUGCGAUUAGAUCGAUACGAAAGUAUAAGUUGCGUGUUGAAGAACCGGAGUUUGGCGGCAGCUGCUACGACGACGGAGGGUCGAGACCCUCAUUUACAGUCCAAAGAAUUAUCGAUUGCUGUAUCUAGCUUUCCUAGCUUUUUUCUGUCUCCACCACAAGAAAUGCUAUAUUAUCAAUAUACUUUAUGUGUGAAAUUGUUGGAGGAAAUAUGCUUGUUGUGGAGUAAUAUUGGCUUUUCAUUGUGUAUAUUGCGACCUCUGGUAACUAGAGGUUUUAUGAAUUUGAUUGUAUACAUUUGGUAUUUGAAGAAUGGAGAAAAAAGUCUGUUGACUCAGUAUGAUUAUAUUACUGGUUAGUUGCUACUACAAUAACAGUGUAUUGUCCUAUUGAUUGGUAUCACUAUAGUUGUAUAUUUUGGUAUGGUUUUUAUGAUUGUAUUGUAUUGUCGUUUUUUGGGUCUUAAAGAUAUAUUAAAGAAAUUUUAUAUGAUUUUCUUUUUGAUGAUGGUGAAAAGUCAUUUGAAAUUGAGGUUAAAGUGGCAGAAAUGUUUGAUUGGUGGGUGAUGUUUGUUUGGGAAUAAACAAAUUUAGUUAUUGUCGAGUGUCCGUACGGUUGGCAGUGCACUCGAAUGUCGACACAUUGGGAAGUUGUCGAAGACGGCAGUAGGAAAAGUGGGCGUAGACACGACGAGGUCGGGGUGGCAGACGUUGCGUAUAAGAGAGUGCGCGAUUUCCGCCACGCGAUGGCAGUCUAGUCACGUAACUGAACGGGAAUGUAAUUGUGUUGUUGCUUUCCUCGAUGUCCCUGUCCACCGCUCAGAUACAGGUUUUUCCUUUUUCGUGUAGUGCAGACCUCUGCACAGUGGCAUGUACAUUCACAACUUUUCAUAUCAUGUCAAGAAAAGUUUUGUUAUCUACGUCUUUCUCUGUGCCCUCUGCAUGUGUGAUACUCAGUUUGUUGCAGCUGAAAUUUGUAGUCUUUAUAAUUUUUUUUUUAGCCACCCUUCUCAUUUCAAUGACUCUGCUCUCUGACGUGCUAAACGUAAUUGUUUAUCUCCCAAAUCGAUAGUCGUGGGAACUCUCGUGUCGUCUACCUUCCUUACAUUUCAGGUCUUUCAAAUAAUCUCAACAAUUGUCUCCGUCCCUUAGACACGAAGCUUACUUUCCAUCAGAUCGACAAAGAAACACUGCGCGUACUAAUCUCACCGAUACGUUUUCUCCGCAUACGGACGUUCGCGGCGUCUACUGUAUUUGUCGGUCCUCUCGAAUACUUUGGGGAAACUGGUCGAUGUGUUUCUGACAGAAUUGUGGAGCACAAAAAUAGUUUUAGGCUUGCCCACACUACUAAUGCUCUUUUGUGUCUCGUCAGAGAUGACAGCCAUGCUAUCGAUUGGUCUUGUGCUAAAACUGUCUUACCUACUUGCAAAUUUAAUUAACAGUUGUUGUGUUGUUGAAUUAUCCUAAUAAAAAAGUUGUAUGAAUUUGAGUUGUGGGUUUGUGUAGAUGCAUUCCUCUUUCACCACAUUGGAAAAAUGAUGCAAACUUGACAAGAUGUGCGACUUGAUCUGAUUACUCCUUUUUCUUUUUCUCCCUCUUACCCUUUUGUCUUUGGAUUUUUGUUUUGUCUUGUGGGUUGUCUUUGUUUGUUUUUUCUUUUGUUUCUAUUAGUUAUUUAUUGAUUUCAUUACCUUCCCUCUCCCUCCUUACCUGUGUGUUGUUGGUCUGCUUGUGUGGGCACCUAGGUCCCUUGCAGUGCUUGACCUUUUUUUUUUAUUCGAUUGGCUUCUACUCCUCGUCCUCCUCCUUGUAUUCCUUAAUUUCACACUACCCCUACCUCUUGCUGCCUAUAUAUACCUGUCAUUCUCCACUUAUCAUUAGUGUGAUUUUGUAAAUGGUCCAAGUUAGAGUGAAACAUUGUAGUAAGCUGGUAUCUGUUAUGUGCGGGUUAUUUUGUAACAGUCUAGCGCACGAGCGGUGGAGUGAAUCAAGUAACGAUCGUGUCUCAUUUACGUGUCAAGUAAGCGUAAAGGACAGUACCGAGAAGAACGAGAGGAUCAAUUACGUACACGGAGUUAAAGCUGGAGGAAAUAACGGAUAAAUAAAGUAGGUGGAGGACGAAGAAAGAUUUGGUUAGGGUGUCAUUAAGAGUGUAGGAAUUAUAAGUCGAAUUGUGUGAUUUGUUGUGGUCAUUAGAGUUUUUGUGUACGCGUGUAGGGGUGGGUGGUGCGGCGGUCCCAGGAAGGUCAAUACGAAAAGUGGUCGUUAUCGUCGUACGUAGCGUUUUGACGUUAUUGAUUUAGUCCUAUUAGAUGAAUUAUUGUAGAUAAAUAAAGUGUAGAGUUGAAAGUAGGCAAAUUGUCAAAGUAAUUUGUUGUGCAUGGAAUUUCAUUUGAAUGAAUUAAUGAAUUGCAUUUCAAUGAAUAGAAAUGAGGAAAAAUGAGUGAGCAGCCAUUUUUUUUAUGAAACAAUUAGUAUCAUUUGUUGUAAAAGUUAAUAUUUUUAUUAUGUAAAGUUUGGAAAGUUGAUUGAUUAAAUUUAUUGUUGUUGGACUGAAUUAUGUGUAAAGAUUCAACUUUGAAUUUGUGUCAGUUUGUUUUAAUGAGGCAUGUUUGUGUUUUGUUAAAAUUGUUAUGUACUGAGAAUUUGUAAUAUUGGAUAUUACAGGCAAGGUGUGUUACAAAGUUGUAGUAUUUUACAUUGUAAUAUGUGGUUAAGAAUUUGCAAAGAGGCGUAUUAUUUACAAAGGAGGACUCGGGUCGCGAUAACCGGGUCUGUACCAGAGUCCACAGUACCACAGAGCUAGACCUGCGAUAAGUACGUGUGCUUAGCCAGUGCGUUUUGUUGUCCACUGUAUGUGGCAGGAUUUGAUGAAGUAAUUUUGCAAAGGAGCUUGGUAUUUGGGGUUAUGGGUAAACAUUUGUUAGGUUGUGUUAAGUGCACAUACAUACUUACUGUGGGUCUAGGUCAGUUGUAAUGUAGUGUGGAGUCUGUCACAGUUUGUUAGCACCACUUUUUUCGUCCUUUGGAUGUACAGACAACGUUUGUAAGAUUUGCUCGAGAAAUUUGGACGAUCUAGUCGAAUUGACGUCGUUCACUUGGAAGGUGACGUAAGGCUACAUAAUUUGUCGAUGAUAUUUGUAUAUAAACAAACAUGGUAUUUUGUGCAAGUGUGAAUAGUAAGAAUUGAAAUUGUUGCGUAAAUAUUUUGUAAUGUUGCAAGUAAAUGUCACGCGUCAUUUUGAUUUGAAUACGUUGAAAAUAAUGGGCGGGCACGUAUGUACUUUUGAUGCAAGACAAAGAAUUUGCAAUGUGGACUUUGUGCAAGAGAGGUAUAAAAUAUCGACAAUAUGAAAGUUAAGACACACGUGCAACAUCUGGAUAUCUUUAUUGUAGACGUUUCGCCAUCCAGUGGCUUUAUCAAUACAGAUUCUAGGACAUAAUAGGAAGACAGUAGAAGUAUAUACAAAAGAUGAGGUAAUCAGUCCCUCGGCCUUGGAGUUAGUGUUGACAGCAUCAUGGUGGAGGAGAAUCUGGAGCAAAGGCAAGAAGAGUGGUGGUUAUAUAGGCGUUAGUGGAUAGGGACGGGCAGCAGAAGAGGGCAUAGACACUGGUAGGCGGGAUUCCCCAGUGGAAGUAGGUCCUUCCCAAAGAGAUGGGUUAGUUGCAGCAAGAUUUCAUGAUGCUGUGAACAGUUACUCCAAGGCUGAGGGACUGAUUACCUCAUCUUUUUUAUAUAGUUGUACUGU